GCAGCACUACAGGUCAAACAAGAGAACCUACCGUGAAUAUCUUAAGCUAAUAAAUAUUGAAAAUUGAUGUGCAACAAUUAUCCCGGAAUUUCAUAGAAGGGAUUGAUGAUCAGAAAAGGUCCAAUAAGAGGUUCAAAUGGCUGACAGAUCCACGUAUCAUGCCAUCAAAAUCCCAGAAAAACUGGGAAGAGAGGAUAAAUGUUGAAUUCACCUACUGUUCUUUUCAUUAGAGAGUACUGUGCGUGACCAGGCAUGAUGAUGACCAAAUAUUGCUGCGGUGCCUUGCAUUUGUAUUCAACGUUGGCGUAUGCACAAGGGCACCCAAAGCAGCUUCUAAAUGGCUGGAUGCGAACCUUCGUUCAUGGAGACAAAUGCAUCCAUGGCAUAAUUUACAUGUCUUUUUGGAGAAGAUGUAAUAUUUUCAUAGAGUAUAUAUAUACUCGCAAUGCAUGCUGCUAAGCCAUUCAACAACUCGUGGAGGAUCGAUUGAGCAAAAACUUUAUCAGCUCAUUUUGAUUCUCCAUUUUUUGAAGGAACAUUGUGCUCACGAUAAUAUUGAUCGCCGAGUCCUGCAUGAUUAUCUUCCAAUAUAGUCGCAAUCUCCAAGGCCAUAUCAAUUGUUCUAGACUCUAAAUUAUAUAUGUGUUCCAACGUUUAGAUUCUUCUUAAGUUCUUUUUAAAUUAAUUCUUGGGUUAAUUGAGGUUAGAGUUUGAGAAUGGUCUCUUGUGUUUUGCUUCUUUUAACAAUUAUUUUGUUAUUAUCAAGGGAAUAAAUGCUUUUUUUUUCUUUAAA
This is a long non-coding RNA of Populus trichocarpa (black cottonwood), 793 nucleotides long. RefSeq lists it as uncharacterized. The transcript is spliced from 2 exons. The record is from RefSeq and is a predicted model, not a curated record. Lineage: Eukaryota; Viridiplantae; Streptophyta; Magnoliopsida; Malpighiales; Salicaceae.